CUGAAAUAACCUUGUCACAUCAAUAGAUUACUGAGUAACACAGUUACUCAGCCCCUGAAUACAGUUUAAAAGGACUGUACAAUUAUGCUAGACAUAGCACAAAGUCAGUAUUAUUCAUACAUUUACAAUGAUUUACAAAUUUUCCAUCUUGAGGUCCAGACUCUGUUUAUGUACGUUUCUACUGCACAUUUAAAUUAUUACAUAUUUUCUUUAAAGUUGCACUAGUCAAUAUUUUUGGAUCAACAGUGAUCAAAUAUGUAAUGUGAAAGAUGUUACUCAGAGUUAUGAACCUACACAGAAUAAUCAUCCUGCAGCUGUAUACAGUUCUACAGAGGUUUUUUAGGGUCUUUUAGGCCCCGUGUCCACCAAAGCGUUUUUUCUGACGCCAGCGUCUUUUGUCAAUUCAUUCCAAUGGGAGCAGCGCGUUUUUCCAAGCUGGUAAAAACGGCAGGAGCGUGACGAGGUGCUGAGUGUUUUUUCCGCGCCGGGCCCUGAGCGUUUUUUUCAGGUCGCCGAGAGUUGAAAAAUGUUAAACUUUGGGGAAAAACGCUGCGCUCGUCACUAUCACUUUUCACCCAGACGUCCAAUCACAGUGCAGGAGGGGCGAGACAAAUGCCACACCGUAGCAACGGUUACUAUCCUGCUCAUCGACUGCUCAUCAACAAUGGAGGAGAAGUUGAUAUUGCUGGUCUCGGAGUAUCCUUGUCUCUAUGAGAUGACAUCCGCUGACUAUCACAAUGUUAACAUGAAGAGCGAUGCGUGGAGGAACAUUUCAUUCGCCAUGGGUCUACCAGACAACAGAUGACAUUACACUUUCAUCAGAGCCCCUGUCCCUGUCCCAGACCCAAACCCAGGCCAAUACCGCACAGCCCAGAUCUCCUGACUCCCCUGAUGAUCUGCCACUCUGCACACCCAGAAGACCUGCACGUUAUACUCCAAAGAGAAGUGCUGAGCCAGUUGUGUCUGAGUAUCAGCGCUGUGUCCUGAAUGCCCUGGAAAAUAAGCCCGAUGAUGAGGAGCAUUUUCUUUCAAGUUUAGCUGGGGCUUUGAGACGCCUUCCUCCCCGCAGCCAAUCAGAGGUUAAAGUAAAAUUUCAACAAAUAUUACAUGAAGCAGAAUUUGGCCAUCAAUAAAACACUUGCAUACCUUUUACAGACGACUUAAAUAAAUAAUGAUUUAAAAUAA
This is a long non-coding RNA of Micropterus dolomieu (smallmouth bass), 1185 nucleotides long. RefSeq lists it as uncharacterized. The transcript has 2 exons. The record is from RefSeq and is a predicted model, not a curated record. Lineage: Eukaryota; Metazoa; Chordata; Actinopteri; Centrarchiformes; Centrarchidae.